UAAGAGAUACAAUGACUUUGAUAAUUCGCCAAUUGGUAAUCUAUGAGUACAAUAAUUAAAGUUUACGCCAUGCAGUCGAAUGCUUCAUUUUGGGUUUCAAUAAUGACGAGGAUGGGACACAGAAGCACGCUGCUGUUUUCAAUUACAAACGUUAUCGAGAACAGUGUUCAAGAGUUGGUCUAUGCAGUUUGUCGUCAAAGUUACAUUUGUGCUGCAUAACAUUUGGGAUGUUAAUGACAGGACGGUUUGCUUCAGUUGUGAAGGUAACUUUUUAUUAUAUACAUCGUUUAAAUAGACGGUAAUUUGGUCAUGUGAAUGAAAUUUUGUACGUGAUUUGAAAAUGCUUUAUAUACUCUUAGGUACAUAAUAAAUUAGACGGCUAUCUCUAUGCGAUCAAAAGAA
This is a long non-coding RNA of Xenia sp. Carnegie-2017, 402 nucleotides long. RefSeq lists it as uncharacterized. The record is from RefSeq and is a predicted model, not a curated record. The transcript is spliced from 2 exons. NCBI's taxonomy places the organism in Eukaryota, Metazoa, Cnidaria, Anthozoa, Malacalcyonacea, Xeniidae.